UAUUGGUUGGUUGUCACCUGGAGUUCUCCUCAAACCACUUCAGUUGCUGCACCUAGCUAGUUUAAUGGCACUGUGCUUGCGUGCAAGCGGCCGGAGCUGUGUGUAGCUAGUGAAGUGUUUGGGGGAACUCUGGGUGUCAAUCAGCAAUU
RNAcentral lists this microRNA precursor (149 nucleotides) under Zea mays. RNAcentral describes it as "miR395a stem-loop (zma-MIR395a)". Its record names the gene zma-MIR395a. The stretch from base 11 to 140 matches the Rfam family "mir-395 microRNA precursor family". From Rfam's summary of the family: mir-395 was identified in both Arabidopsis thaliana and Oryza sativa computationally and was later experimentally verified. mir-395 is thought to target mRNAs coding for ATP sulphurylases. The mature sequence is excised from the 3' arm of the hairpin. The record is from miRBase by way of RNAcentral. Lineage: Eukaryota; Viridiplantae; Streptophyta; Magnoliopsida; Poales; Poaceae.